CCUGAUCCCAUGCCGAACUCAGAAGUGAAACGCGGUAGCGCCGAUGGUAGUGUGGCAUUCGCCAUGCGAGAGUAGGACACUGCCAGGCA
Molecule: ribosomal RNA, 89 nt
Filed under: Aeromonas veronii AER397
Lineage: Bacteria; Pseudomonadati; Pseudomonadota; Gammaproteobacteria; Aeromonadales; Aeromonadaceae
Source: RNAcentral